This 253-nucleotide ribosomal RNA is filed under the name uncultured bacterium. RNAcentral's name for it is "partial 16S ribosomal RNA". It matches the Rfam family "Bacterial small subunit ribosomal RNA", at positions 524 to 776 of the family's 1533-position model. The record is from RNAcentral.
UACGAAGGACCCGAGCGUUAUCCGGAUUCAUUGGGUUUAAAGGGUGCGUAGGCGGAUUGAUAAGUCAGUGGUGAAAUCCUGCAGCUUAACUGCAGAACUGCCAUUGAUACUGUCGAUCUUGAGUACAUUUGAAGUGGGCGGAAUGUGUCAUGUAGCGGUGAAAUGCUUAGAUAUGACAUAGAACACCAAUUGCGAAGGCAGCUUACUACGGGAACAUUGACACUGAGGCACGAAAGCGUGGGGAUCAAACAGG